GACGAACGCUGGCGGCGUGCUUAACACAUGCAAGUCGAACGGAAAGGCCUGCUUUCCCUUGUGGAUUGCGGGUACUCGAGUGGCGAACGGGUGAGUAACACGUGAGUGAUCUGCCCCCAACUUGGGUAUAAGCCUGGGAAGCUGGGUCUAAUUCCCGAUAGGACUGCAGGGUGGUGCCUGUGGUGGAACACGAUUUUCUAGUGGUUGGGGAUGAGCUCGCGGCCUAUCAGCUUGGUGGUGGGGUAAUGGCCUACCAAGGCGGCGACGGGUAGCCGGCCUGAGAGGGUGGACGGCGACAUUGGGACUGAGAUACGGCCCAGACUCCUACGGGAGGCAGCAGUGGGGAAUAUAGCACAAUGGGCGGGAGCCUGAUGCAGCGACGCCGCGUGGGGGAUGACGGCCUUCGGGUUGUAAACUCCUUUCGACCGCGAGGAAGCCACCUGGUUGGAAGGGUGGUGACGGUAGUGGUAGAAGAAGCACCGGCUAACUACGUG
This 494-nucleotide ribosomal RNA is filed under the name uncultured bacterium. Its description in RNAcentral is "partial 16S ribosomal RNA". It matches the Rfam family "Bacterial small subunit ribosomal RNA", at positions 28 to 507 of the family's 1533-position model. The record is from RNAcentral.